GUCCAGGGAUGGGAAUCGAACCCACAGUGUAACACUUACCGGGCAGAUGCCAUGUCCACUAGGCUACCCUGGA
RNAcentral lists this transfer RNA (73 nucleotides) under Cordylochernes scorpioides. Its description in RNAcentral is "tRNA-Thr". The record is from RNAcentral. Lineage: Eukaryota; Metazoa; Arthropoda; Arachnida; Pseudoscorpiones; Chernetidae.